Non-coding RNA from Rhizopogon salebrosus TDB-379, 77 nucleotides. The record is from the annotation of a GenBank genome assembly. Lineage: Eukaryota; Fungi; Basidiomycota; Agaricomycetes; Boletales; Rhizopogonaceae.
GCAUUGAUGGUGUAGCGGUAACAUGCGGUCUUCCCAACAGGGUGGCCGCGCUCCGAGUUCGACUCUCGGUCAAUGCA